This 675-nucleotide ribosomal RNA is filed under the name uncultured bacterium. RNAcentral describes it as "bacterial SSU rRNA". It matches the Rfam family "Bacterial small subunit ribosomal RNA", at positions 808 to 1482 of the family's 1533-position model. The record is from RNAcentral.
GAUGUCAACUAGCCGUUGGGACUCUUGAAGUCUUAGUGGCGCAGCUAACGCACUAAGUUGACCGCCUGGGGAGUACGGCCGCAAGGUUAAAACUCAAAUGAAUUGACGGGGGCCCGCACAAGCGGUGGAGCAUGUGGUUUAAUUCGACGCAACGCGAAGAACCUUACCUGGCCUUGACAUCCAGAGAACUUUCCAGAGAUGGAUUGGUGCCUUCGGGAACUCUGUGACAGGUGCUGCAUGGCCGUCGUCAGCUCGUGUCGUGAGAUGUUGGGUUAAGUCCCGUAACGAGCGCAACCCCUAUCCCUGGUUGCUAGCAGGUAAUGCUGAGAACUCCAGGGAGACUGCCGGUGACAAACCGGAGGAAGGUGGGGAUGACGUCAGGUCAUCAUGGCCCUUACGGCCAGGGCUACACACGUGCUACAAUGGCGCGUACAGAGGGCUGCGAACUCGCGAGGGUAAGCCAAUCCCUUAAAACGCGUCGUAGUCCGGAUCGGAGUCUGCAACUCGACUCCGUGAAGUCGGAAUCGCUAGUAAUCGCGAAUCAGAAUGUCGCGGUGAAUACGUUCCCGGGCCUUGUACACACCGCCCGUCACACCAUGGGAGUGGAUUGCACCAGAAGUGGUUAGUCUAACCUUCGGGAGGACGAUCACCACGGUGUGGUUCAUGACUGGGGUG